GAAUGCUAGCCUGGGGACUGGGGGAUACCGUCCGGAAAGGGGCGCUAAUACCGCAUACGUCCUGAGGGAGCUAGUGGGGGAUCUUCGGACCUGACGCUAUCACAUGAGCCAAGGGCGGAUUAACUAGUUGGUGGGGUAAAGGGCUACCAAGGCGACCAUCCGGAACUGGUCUGAGAGGAUGAUCAGUCACACUGGAACUGGCACACGGUCCAGACUCCUACGGGAGGCAGCAGUGGGGAAUAUUGGACAAUGGGCGAAAGCCUGAUCCAGCCAUGCCGCGUGUGUGAAGAAGGUCUUCGGAUUGUAAAGCACUUUAAGUUGGGAGGAAGGGCAGUAAGUUAAUACCUUGCUGUUUUGACGUUACCAACAGAAUAAGCACCGGCUAACUUCGUGCCAGCAGCCGCGGUAAUACGAAGGGUGCAAGCGUUAAUCGGAAUUACUGGGCGUAAUCAUUCCAAAGCAAUCAUACGCAGUGCGUAGCUAGUUGAGCAAGCCGCAUGUAAUAUAUGCGGGUUCAACGUGGGAGCGGUAUCCAACACGGCUGAGCUAGAGUACGGUAGAGGGUGGCAGAAUCUCCUGUGUAGCGGCAAAGUGUGUAGAUAUUUGAUGGAACAGCAGUGGCGCAGGCUACCACAUCUUGUGACUCUGACACUGAUUUGCGAAACAGUGGCGAGCAAACAGGAUGAGAUACCCUGGUACACCAGUCUGUAAUCGAUUUUGAACAGCCUUCGGGAUCACACAGAUAUUAGCGGCGCACUUAACGGGAUAAGUGGUCCGCAUGGGGAGUACGGCUUCAAGGUUAAAACUCAAAUGAUUUGCAGGGGACCCGCACAAGCGGUGGAGCAUGUGGUUUAACCAGAAGUAACGAGAAAAACCUUCCCCGUCCGUAACAUGGUGAGAACUUUCCAGAAAUGUAUUGGUGCCUAUUGGAACUCAGACACAGAUGCUGCAUGGUAUUAGUCAGCUGGCGUGUCGUUAGAAAUUGGAAUAAGUCCCCAAACGAGCGCAACCCUUGUCCUUAGUUACCAGCACCUCGGGUGGGCACUCUCAGGAGACUGCCGGUGACAAACCGGAGGAAGGUGGGGAUGAGGUCAAGUCAUCUGGGCCAUUACGGCCAGGGUUACACAAGUGCUACAAUGGUCGGUACAAAGGGUUGCCAAGCCCCGAGGUGGAGCUAAUCCCAUAAAACCGAUCGUAGUCCGGAUCGCAGUCUGCAACUCGACCGCGUGAAGUCGGAAUCGGUAGUAAUCGUGAAUCAGAAUGUCACGGUGAAUUCGUUCCCGGGCCUUGUACAUACCGCCCGUCGACGACGCUAUGGGCAGUGGGU
Molecule: ribosomal RNA, 1327 nt
Filed under: Pseudomonas sp.
Lineage: Bacteria; Pseudomonadati; Pseudomonadota; Gammaproteobacteria; Pseudomonadales; Pseudomonadaceae
Description: bacterial SSU rRNA
Rfam family: Bacterial small subunit ribosomal RNA
Source: RNAcentral